This is a long non-coding RNA of Papaver somniferum (opium poppy), 2440 nucleotides long. RefSeq lists it as uncharacterized. NCBI's taxonomy places the organism in Eukaryota, Viridiplantae, Streptophyta, Magnoliopsida, Ranunculales, Papaveraceae. The transcript has 7 exons. The record is from RefSeq and is a predicted model, not a curated record.
UCUCCAUUCCCUUCUGCCGUGUCUUCAUGAACCUCUGAAUUAUCGAUUUCUCCACUCCCUUCUCGUUGUCUCUUCGAAUUCCAACACAAACCAUUGUUUCAAUUGCACCAGAACCCCUUCUCAUCUCUAAUUUCAAUGAAACCCUAAGUUCAUGAUCUCUACAACCUUCCUGAAUUCAAAUCUAUCAUCUCAAUUUUGUGCUUCUUUGUUCUUCCAAACUGACAUCCAUGGCCUUAGGUCUCUCCAUUUUGUUACAGCACCUUCAGGAAUAGAGCGGAAUGAUGACGAAGAAAUGAUUGUUGAUGCCACGGUUUAGAUCUGUGAAUGAAUUUAAAGACACGGGUUUGGAGCAGCACUGCUGCUGGUGAUGAUAGAAGAGUGAUGGUGUUGAAUGAAGAACAUAAAGGGGGUUGCUCAUAAAUUCUCUUCAUGCCAACUUCUAGUUUUCAUCUCUUCAAUCCUUUAGCUGGUGAAUGUCUUGCUGGUGUGCUUUCUACACCGACCAAUUCUCUUUAUUGCGUAGUUUGAUUGAUGAUUAGAGAUGUUUAUAAACCUCCAAUUGAGUAAAUGGAAACAAUUCUGGAUUGUUCAUGAACUCACUGUCUCCAUGGUCGCAGAAGAUUUGAUUAAGAGGGAGUGAAAAAAAUCAGUAAUAAAGGUCAAGAAACGGAAGAUGGUUGUCCAGUUUUUCCACGGAAAACGGUUAAUCAUUGUUCGUUUUUCACUUUUUGAGAACGGCUGAUCGUUGCCCGUCUUCGGAGUCUUCCCGCUGGGAUUCCUAGAGACCAGGAAAGGCUAUCGGGAAGAGGGGCUUUAAGUGACGGUUUUUUUGUUUGGGAUGACCUUGGGCAUGCCCAUAAGACCCAGUCUAACAGAGACACCAAUAUAUCGAAGUGAGUUUUAUUCUGUUCUUUUUCUGCUCUUUCUUCUGUUCUUCAUGUAUUUCUCCCUAUUGAACUCAAAUCCAAUGAAUACUUUUUUUUUUUUAUUAUUUUUUUUAUUAUGAGGGAUUCAUGUAAAUCUUGAGAUCUAGAUAAAUUGAAGAAGAGGGUGAUGAAUCUGGAAGUUGAUCUGUGAAAGAAGAAGAAAUCAGAUGAAAUAAAAAUUAGGGUUUCUGCUAGAAUUGAAUAAGUUCUAUUUGGAAGAGGAGUUCGAUUUAGAACAUACAGAUGGAGACUCCAUCACCAUCACCUCCAUAAUGUAGUUGUAUAAAAGUUAAUCAGUCAGGGAUAGGAGUGGAGGCUUGAUGAGGUUCUUUGAUAAAGCAAUAGCGGAAUAUAGGCAACUGUAUUGAUGAAAGCCACCAACUCAGAUAUGUUUGUCGCGUCUGAAUGAUGCAAACUGACUUGGAUAAAGUAGAGAUGCAAAAAACAAUGGUGCUUAAUGGCGCUAGUUAAGUUUCUCUCAGGUUUUGUCUUGAUACUGUCGAGAUGAAGAAUGGGCCAUGGUCGUUCGCUGGAAUAUGUGAGUUUUAACACAUAAAGAUUUGAUUGCGUUGGAGUGUCACCAAGGAUAUACUGUCUUGGAUAUAUAUGGAGAGACUGCUGGACUCAAUUAUAAACUCCAUAAAAAUUACCAUUUGAAGGGUACUAUUUGAGUUCCGUGUAGUAUGUGGGGGUACAAAAGAACACAAUUAAUUUCGUCUAGAAGUAUUUUUUUUUAUUAAUUUUUGGCUCAUGCCUUUACCAUGUAAUCCUUUAUAGUUUCAGGGGCAUUUCUUCUAAUCUGUCAAGGUUGAUGACUGUUACUGGAGCAUAGGAUUCAAAGUAAGUUCAUGUCAUUACGGAAUAUCAUUAGCAGGUCUUCAAAGUUAAAUUAAGUAUCUUUGAAAACAGUCAUGUAACAGGGUAAUGACAUAUUGAGCAACAAAUGAGACAGAUGUUGAAAUUCUGCCUAUACCAUGUCUUAAGAGAGACUUUGAGAGGGACAAAAAGAAAUGAGUUUGAGAUUAGAACUACUCUGCCAUUGUAGACUUACGAUUUUGGAAGUGAGAAGCAUUCAAGCAAUAUUAUAUGGAAAAAUGUUGGCAUAAUGAAUCCCGAAAGCUCCUCUGGACAAAGUCGGUACUCUUAGCUGUUGGGUCUCUACAGGCCCUGGUACGAAUGUUUCCAAACCUAAAAAAGGUUCAGCAGCUGCUGUUUUUGGAUUGGGCAUUGUCAGCCUUACUGUAAGUAAUUUGCUCUUUUGUAUGAUGGUGCACAAAGUUAACUUGAUUCUUCAGUCGCCUAUUUAAACAGCUUAAGCAAUUCAGCAAACAAAUGCAGGCUUGGGAAUCUUCUAGGAAUCAGGGUAAUCAGAAACAUUUUUCCACCUAUUAAUCUUAGUUGAAAGUUUUAGAUUUCCAGGCUUGAUUUGUGCUUCAGUUAAUGGUACAUAAAGAUUUAUAAUUUGUAUGCAGCUUACUUGAAAUGAUUGAAGUGUCAAAUGAGAUUUGUUUAUG